AACGAAGUGAAUUGAAAUAUCUAAGUAACUUUAGGAAAAGAAAUCAAAAGAGAUUCUAUGAUUAGUGUGAAUGAAAGUAGAUGAGCCUAUAUCAGUAUAUGAUAUUAUUAAAGUUAAAUAAACUAAAUAGAUGAUGGCUUUUUAAUGUUAUAUUUAUAUAGAUAUAUAAUAAGUAAAACGGAGUAUAUAUCUGUUUAAAAAAAGGGGAACCUUCCUCUAAGGCUAAAUAUAAUGUAUAAGCGAUAGAGAAUAGUACCGUGAGGGAAAAGACGAAAUAGUAAUUCUAUAAGCAGCUCGAAUAUUAAGUAAUAAAAUAUAAGAGCGUACCUUUUGUAUAAUGGGUCAGCAAGUUAAUAUUAGAUGCGAGCUAGAUAAAAGCGAAGAUAAACUAACUAUGACCUACUGAUUAGUAUCUAAUAUUAGACCCGAAAUCUAGUGAUCUUACCAUUAUCAGGAAUAAAGUCCGAACGGGUUAUCGUUGUAAAGAUAUCCGAAGAAUUGUGGUAAGUAAGUGAAAGACAAAACUGACUAGACAAUAGCUGGUUUUCUACGAAACCUAUAUUAGUAGGCGGUUAUAAUAAUAUCAAGGCAGGUACAGCGAUGUAAUCUUAAUAUACGAUUUAAUAAAUUUUAUAUUAUUGCGGGGGCCUGAGAAUCCUACAAUUAAGUAUUUGCACUCGAAAGGGCUUUGAUAAAUGUUAGACUGUCAGACAUAGUACGAUAAGGUUGUAUGUCUAAAGGGAAACAGCCCAGAACAAGAGUUAAUAAGGUUCCUAAAUUAUUGUCAAGUGAAAUAAAGGUAGUGUUUAUCUUAUCCGGCCAGGAAGUGGGCUUAGGAGCGGCCAUCUUUUAAAGACCUCGUAAUAGAGCACUGGCUUAUAUAUUAAGGGCGCCUAAAAUUUAACGGAUCUAAACAAUAUACCGAAACCUUGUCCAUAUAUAAUAUAUAUGGGGUAGUAGAACAUAGGGUAAGUAUUAGACUUUUUCUUUUAAAGAACUAGAAUUAGACGACCCCAGAGAUAAUGCUGACAUGAGUAACGAUAAAGGGAUAAUAUCCCUCGCCUUAAGCUUAUGGUUUUUCAGGAAAAACUUAUGAUUUAACAUACCGUACCUAAAUUCUACCUCCAGUAAGCUAGUAGAGUAUACGAAGGCGUUUGAGUGAACAAUUAUAAAGGAACUCGGCAAAUUGGCUCCGUAACUUAGGGAUAAGGAGCACCACUUUACUUGAUUAAUAGCAAGUAAAGGAGGUAGCAUAAAAUCGUGUUGUACGACUGUUUAAUUAAAACACAGCACUUCGCUAAAAGGAAACUUGAUGUAUUGAGUGUGAUGUCUGCCCGAUGCUAUAAGUAUAAACAUUUAACUUAACUAUAAUAGGUUAAGCGAUAAUUAACCUGUAGUCAAUGGCGGCCUUAACUAUGAGGGUCCUAAGGUAGCGGAAUACCCUGGCCGUUAAAUGCGGUCUUGCAUGAAUGAUUUAACGAUACAACAGCUGUCUCUAUAAUUGGCUCAGUGAAAUUGGAAUAACUGUGAAGAUACAGUUUACCUCUAGAUAGACGAGAAGACCCUAUGCAGCUUUACUGCGACUAGUUAUAGGGUAUAAUGUAAUGGGUUAUUAGAGUAUAAGGUAAUUUAUUUACAGUUGAAACACCUUUACACCAUUUUUAUACUUUUUACCUCUAUAGGUACAAUUGCUAGGGGGCAGUUUAUGCGGGGCACAGAUCCCAUAAAAAGUAACUGGGAACAGGCUUAUUGCGCAAGAGAGUUCAAAUUGAGUGCGCAGUUUGGCACCUCGAUGUCGGCUUAGCUUAUCCACAUGAAUGCAGGAGUCAUGAAAGGUCGGACUGUUCGUCCGUUAAAAAGCUACACGAGCUGGGUUAAAUACGUCGUGAGACAGUAUGGUUUCUAUCUUCUAGGGGAAAUUAGAGUAAAAUUAGAUUAGCCGCUUAUUACGAAAGGAGUUAGGCCAUGUCGGUACUCUGCGGGGUAUGUCGAUGGUAUGUUAACCUCUGGUAUACCUGUUGUU
RNAcentral lists this ribosomal RNA (2023 nucleotides) under Graphis lineola. RNAcentral describes it as "16S ribosomal RNA". It matches the Rfam family "Bacterial large subunit ribosomal RNA", at positions 181 to 2725 of the family's 2925-position model. The record is from RNAcentral. Lineage: Eukaryota; Fungi; Ascomycota; Lecanoromycetes; Ostropales; Graphidaceae.